Long non-coding RNA from Alosa sapidissima (American shad), 174 nucleotides. RefSeq lists it as uncharacterized. The record is from RefSeq and is a predicted model, not a curated record. The transcript has 3 exons. Lineage: Eukaryota; Metazoa; Chordata; Actinopteri; Clupeiformes; Clupeidae.
AAAAUCAUAGGUAAUGCACUCCACCGCCAUGGCCUCUAUGCACGCUCAUCCAGCAUGAUUCUAUUGCUGAAGAAAAACAUGUUGAAGCUUGUUGAAAGUUUGUUACACAACAUUUGAACAAUCCUAUGAAAUACUGAGAGAAUGUAUUCUGGUCUGGCAAGAGCAAAUUAUUGA